AAAAAAAUUCACGCUCAUCAGACACCAUAAAAGGCGUUGGUUAGUAUAAACAGCCGGACUGUGGCCAUGGAAGUCUGCACCAGCUAAGGAGUGUGUAACAACUCACCAGCCGAAUUAACCAGCCCUGAAAAUUGAUGGCGCUAAGCGUGAUACCGAUACUCAACCAUCAUGGCAAAUAGAAGCUAUGAUGAGUAAGAGGGCGUGAAGACUGUGUAGAAGGCUUGGAUGUGAAUCUGGCUGGAACAGUCUUUAGUGCAGAUCUUGGUGGUAGUAGCAAAUAUUCAAAUGAGAACUUUGAAGACCGAAGUGGAGAAGGGUUCCAUGAGAACAGCAUUUGGUCAUGGGUUACUCGAUCCUAAGACAUAGGGAAAUUCCUUGUAAUACAUUUGCACUUACGUGCAUGUAGUCAAAAGGGAAUGAGGUUCAUAUUCCUCAAGCUGGAUGUGGGAGCUAUGUGGUAACACAAACAAGCUCGGAGACAUCGGUAUGUGCAACUGGAAGAGUUCUCUUUUCUUCUUAACAGUCUAUCUCCCUGAACGGAUUAUCCAGAGCUAGGGAUAUAUGGCUGGCAGAGCAGUUCUCCAUUGAAUUGUCAGUGAAGCUCAUAACGAUCCUUGAAAAUCCGAGUAAGAUUAUCUCAUCACACCAGGUCGUACCCAUAACCGCAUCAGGUCUCCAAGGUUAGCAGCCUCUGGUCGAUAGAAUAACGCAGAUAAGGGAAUUCGGCAAAUUAGAUCCGUAACUUCGGGAAAAGGAUUGGCUCUGAGGGUUGAGUGUGGUGCCAAUGAAAUGGAACUAGGAUCUGUACUGGUGUUGGUCGCAAGAUCGAAACCGGCAUGGAGAGAAGGAAAAUUUUUGCGGCUAGCACAAUUAACAACCGACUCAGAACUGAAGCGGACAAGGGGAAUCCGACUGUUUAAUAAAAACAUAGCUUUGUGAUGGCCUCAAAAGGUGUUGACACAAAGUGAUUUCUGCCCAGUGCUUUGAAUGUGAAUAUGAAGUAAUUUAUAGAAGCUCAGGUAAACGGCGGGAGUAACUAUGACUCUCUUAAGGUAGCCAAAUGCCUCGUCAUCUAAUUAGUGACGCGCAUGAAUGGAUUAAUGAGAUUCCCACUGUCCCUAUCUACCAUCUAGCGAACCCAUAGCCAAGGGAACGAGCUUGGAAUAAUCAGCGGGGAAAGAAGACCCUGUUGAGCUUGACUCUAGUCCGACCUUGUGAAAUGACUUUCGAGAUAUAGCCUAAGUGGGAGCUAACGCGCCGCUGUAAAACCACUGCUCGCUUAGCCAUUUUACUUACUCCAU
This 1301-nucleotide ribosomal RNA is filed under the name metagenome. Its description in RNAcentral is "eukaryotic LSU rRNA". It matches the Rfam family "Eukaryotic large subunit ribosomal RNA", at positions 1187 to 2529 of the family's 3401-position model. The record is from RNAcentral.